UCCAGACUCCUACGGGAGGCAGCAGUGGGGAAUAUUGCACAAUGGGGGAAACCCUGAUGCAGCGACGCCGCGUGGGUGAAGGAGCGUUUCGGCGCGUAAAGCCCUAUCGGCAGGGAAGAAGGGGGACGGUACCUGACUAAGAAGCCCCGGCUAACUACGUGCCAGCAGCCGCGGGAAUACGGAGGGGGCAAGCGUUAUCCGGAGUUACUGGGUGUAAAGGGGGGGCAGACGGCAGCGCAAGCCAGGAGUGAAAGCCCGGGGCCCAACCCCGGGACUGCUCUUGGAACUGCGCGGCUGGAGUGCAGGAGGGGCAGGCGGAAUUCCUGGUGUAGCGGUGAAAUGCGUAGAUAUCAGGAGGAACACCGGCGGCGAAGGCGGCCUGCUGGACCGUGACUGACGUUGAGGCUCGAGAGCGUGGGGAGCAAACAGGAUUAGAUACCCCAGUACC
RNAcentral lists this ribosomal RNA (448 nucleotides) under uncultured bacterium. RNAcentral's name for it is "partial 16S ribosomal RNA". It matches the Rfam family "Bacterial small subunit ribosomal RNA", at positions 330 to 794 of the family's 1533-position model. The record is from RNAcentral.